Molecule: ribosomal RNA, 274 nt
Filed under: uncultured bacterium
Lineage: Bacteria
Description: partial 16S ribosomal RNA
Rfam family: Bacterial small subunit ribosomal RNA
Source: RNAcentral
CUGCCGGCGACCGGCGCACGGGUGAGUAACACGUAUGCAACCUGCCCUCCGCAGGGGGAUAACCCGGAGAAAUCCGGACUAAUACCGCGUGGUACACCAGUGGGGCAUCCCACGGGUGUUAAAAGGAAGCGAUUCCGGCGGAGGAUGGGCAUGCGGCGCAUUAGCUUGUUGGCGGGGUAACGGCCCACCAAGGCGACGAUGCGUAGGGGUUCUGAGAGGAAGGCCCCCCACACUGGGACUGAGACACGGCCCAGACUCCUACGGGAGGCAGCAG